Gigantopelta aegis is the source of this 651-nucleotide long non-coding RNA. RefSeq lists it as uncharacterized. The record is from RefSeq and is a predicted model, not a curated record. Lineage: Eukaryota; Metazoa; Mollusca; Gastropoda; Neomphalida; Peltospiridae. The transcript is spliced from 3 exons.
UAUGAUUAUGGACGACAAGGUACGUACAGUACAUUCUUCUGGUUUUAGCUUAAAUUCAAAAAUACAAUAUCGCUAUUUGACGUCUAUGAACAUAUUUAACAUGUAUAAGAAAAUAUGUUAAUUAUUUGGUAUGCAUUUAUAAUAUAUAUUCAAGAAUGUGUAGCUGUCAGAAUUCAAUAUUUUCUACAGUCUGGAUUAUGGAUAUCACCAAGACAGUGUUUUCUUCUUCUUCUUUUUCGAUGGUAGUGGUGGUGUUUUGGUAACACAGAGAACAUUGGUAUAACGAAACGGGAUUCCCAGAGCAAUAACACAGUUCAGGAACCGCAGAUAAAAUACUGGAAGUAUAGAUUUCAUUUAAUGUUAAUUUGAUAUUAAUGCUUAUAUCCAAUUAAAGGGACUGUCCCGAGUUUAAUAUUGGAAGUGUGGUUUUAAUUUCAUGUUAAUUUGAUAUAUCAAAUUAAAGGGAAUAUCAUCAGUUUAAUACUAGAAAUGUGGUUUUCAUUUCAUGUUAAUUUAAUAUUAAUGCUUAUAUUCAAUUAAAGGGAAUAUGCUCAGUUUAAUAUUGGAAGUGUGCUUUUCGUGCUUAUAUCCAAUUAAGUUUCAAGCACGUUGUCCUGGACACACACACACACACAAACACACACACACACA